Molecule: ribosomal RNA, 447 nt
Filed under: uncultured bacterium
Lineage: Bacteria
Description: partial 16S ribosomal RNA
Rfam family: Bacterial small subunit ribosomal RNA
Source: RNAcentral
AACGAACGCUGGCGGCAGGCCUAACACAUGCAAGUCGAACGCCCCGCAAGGGGAGUGGCAGACGGGUGAGUAACGCGUGGGAACAUACCCUUUCCUGCGGAAUAGCUCUGGGAAACUGGAAUUAAUACCGCAUACGCCCUACGGGGAAAGAUUUAUCGCCGAUAGAUGGGCCCGCGUCGGAUUAGCUAGUUGGUGAGGUAAUGGCUCACCAAGGCUACGAUCCGUAGCUGGUCUGAGAGGAUGAUCAGCCACACUGGGACUGAGGACACGGCCCAGACUCCUACGGGAGGCAGCAGUGGGGAAUAUUGGACAAUGGGCGCAAGCCUGAUCCAGCCAUGCCGCGUGAGUGAAGAAGGCCUUAGGGUUGUAAAGCUCUUUUAGUGGGGACGAUAAUGACGGUACCCACAGAAUAAGCCCCGGCUAACUUCGUGCCAGCCGCCGCAGUAA